CAGGCCUAACACAUGCAAGUCVAACGCCGGGUAGCAAUVCCUGGAGUGGCGCACGNGUGCGUAACGCGUAACCAACCUACCUACAACUGCGGGAUAGCCCGCCGAAAGGCAUUAAUACCGCNAAUACCAGCAGCCUGGMAUCAGGUAAUUGGGAAMGAUUUAUUGGUUGUAGDUGGGGUUGCGUGCCAUHAAGCUAGUUGGCGGGGHAACAGGCCCACCAAGGCCCGAUGGCAUAGGGGACCAGAGAGGGUGAUCCCCCACACUGGCACUGAGAUACGGGCCAGACUCCUACVGGAGGCAGCAGUAGGGAAUAUUGGGCAAUGGGCGAGAGCCUGACCCAGCCUAUGCCGCGUGCCGGAUGAAGGCCUUCUGGGUUGUAAACGGCUUUUCUCAGGGAAGAAAAAGGGGAUGCGUCCCAAACUGACGGUACCUGAGGAAUAAGCACCGGCUAACUCCGUGCCAGCAGCCGCGUAAUACGGAGGGUGCAGCGUUGUCCGGAUUUAUUGGGUUUAAAGGGUGCGUAGGUGGCCCGUUAAGUCCGGGGUGAAAGCCCACUGCUCAACAGUAGAACUGCCCUGGAUACUGACGCGCUUGAGUCCAGACGACGUUGGCGGAAUGGAUAGUGUAGCGGUGAAAUGCAUAGAUACCAUCAGAACCCCGAUUGCGUAGCAGCUGACUAGGCUGGUACUGACACUGAGGCACGAAAGCGUCGGGAGCGAACACGAUUAGAUACCCUAGUAGUCACGCCGUAAACGAUCGAUACUCGUUGCAGGCGAUACACAAUCUGUCACUCAGCGAACUUUAAGUAUCCACCUAGGAGUACGCUCGCAGAGUGACACUCAAAGGAUUGACGGGGCCCCACAANUAGU
Molecule: ribosomal RNA, 869 nt
Filed under: uncultured Bacteroidota bacterium
Lineage: Bacteria; Pseudomonadati; Bacteroidota
Description: bacterial SSU rRNA
Rfam family: Bacterial small subunit ribosomal RNA
Source: RNAcentral